This 1315-nucleotide long non-coding RNA is filed under the name Phasianus colchicus (ring-necked pheasant). Its description in RNAcentral is "lncRNA (ENSPCLG00000010380.1)". Lineage: Eukaryota; Metazoa; Chordata; Aves; Galliformes; Phasianidae. The record is from RNAcentral.
AUGGUAAUUACACACCACCGAGUUGCCUGUAAAAGCUGGUCUACCUGGCAGAAAAUGGCAGUAAUCAGCCUAUUGGCAGCAGACAAUACAGCAUCAUUUGUAAUUCUUAUGGCUGCAUGUUCCUCAUUUCACAGGGGCUGGAUGCUAAUCAAUGAGUUGCCAUGGUUACCCGACAUCCCCAGCCAUCAAUACACAAUGAGAUGCAAGGAAAUUAGAGGGGCUUUGAGUCACCGCUGCUGGGGCACCUGGAUGGUUGCAGGCUCCCUUCUGUGUCACACACACAGGUGCCAUCACUUCUCAUCUAAAUUGAAGGCUAAGAUCUACGAAGCUGCUGGCCACCACGAGAAAAGCAAGCAGAGCCCCACGCCGGGUCCUGCUGCUUUAUCACCCGUCGUCCCAACCCAUUCACAUGCAAAAUGCGUGAGAGCUCCCUCUAUUAGCGGUGCGGCUCUCGGCAGCCUUUUGGCACAGCACAAGGAUGUCGGUGUGCAAUAACAAGGAGCGAAAGCAUCUCGGUACGCAACGAGGAGCAGAAUCACAACCCACUCAAGGCUUUGGCCGCCCUCAUCUCCCAGCCAAACCCUCCACAGCGUGGCCCUGCCCUCCAGGUGCUGUAAAUGAGGGUUUGGCUUGGGCAGAACCCCUCGGGCUGCUCAGAGGUGGAUAAGGACUUACUUCUCUCCCUCCACCCUCGUGGAAAUGUAGGUCCCAGAUCCUGAAAACCCUACAGAAAUCAGAGCAAAAUAGAACAGCACAAACAGUUUGGGGGUCCAGCCCAGCUCCUGUUCACCCAGCACUCGGUUGCUUCACUCUUUAUACAGAAGCACUUUUCCCUGCCUGAAGCGCUUCCUCUCCUGUCCAUCCCCCAGGAUCACCCCCACGUUCGCAGAGCGCACCUUCCCUCCCACAUCUGGCCAGGAAGCGACUUCUUCCUUGCUUCUCCGAUUUUGUUUUAUUGUCAUCCUUCGGUUAAAGCAGCUGGACGUUUGCAAACAGCACCAGCAGCCUCUUGCGGGCACGGCGGGUCCUGCAGCCAGGAGCGCUCGGAUGGUGCGGAGCUGUUUGCUCUCUCGCAUGCUUUGUGCAGGGAAAGGCAAUGCAACCGUGCAAACCCUCCCUUCCCACCUAACAGCACCACUACACAGCUGCCCGGAUCUGAUCAGCAAACUAACAAAAUCAACCAGGAACGACCUGACAAAAUUACCUUGUGACUAAGCAAUUAAGCCAGCUCCCAACGAGCUCCAUCCCCACUUCGUUGCUGCAGCUGAGUGCUGAUUUAAGCCACCCUGUGCUGAUAAGCCAGGCUGUCUUCUCA